AACAGCUGCGGUAUUAUAACUGUACUAAGGUAGCAUAAUAAUUUGCCUUAUAAAUUAGGGCUGGAAUGAAUGGUUUGACGAAAAUUAUACUGUCUCUAUUUUAAUUAUUAGAAAUUAAUUUUUAUAGUGAAAAAGCUUGAAUAAUUUAAAGGGACGAGAAGACCCUAUUGAGCUUUAUGUUGAAUAUAAAUAAUUAUAAAAUAUUAUUUAUUUUUAAUUUUUGGUUGGGGUGAUCAAGGAAUAAAAAUUUUUAGUAAAAGUAAUUUCCUUAUUUAUACUAUUUACUUGAAUAAUAAACCAAAAUUUUUGCUUAAAUGAUAAGUUACCAUAGGGAUAACAGCGUAAUUUUUUUAGAGAGUUCUUAUUAAAAAAAAAGAUUGCGACCUCGAUGUUGGAUUAAAAUAACCAUUAGGUGUAGAAGCUUUAUUUGGUAAAUCUGUUCGAUUUUUAAAAUUUU
Molecule: ribosomal RNA, 457 nt
Filed under: Thaumeledone zeiss
Lineage: Eukaryota; Metazoa; Mollusca; Cephalopoda; Octopoda; Octopodidae
Description: partial large subunit ribosomal RNA
Rfam family: Bacterial large subunit ribosomal RNA
Source: RNAcentral